This 22-nucleotide transfer RNA is filed under the name Nicrophorus nigrita. RNAcentral's name for it is "tRNA-Leu". The record is from RNAcentral. Lineage: Eukaryota; Metazoa; Arthropoda; Insecta; Coleoptera; Silphidae.
GUUGACACUUUUUUUAGAAAAA